RNAcentral lists this ribosomal RNA (412 nucleotides) under Verrucomicrobiota bacterium. RNAcentral's name for it is "Verrucomicrobia bacterium partial 16S ribosomal RNA". It matches the Rfam family "Bacterial small subunit ribosomal RNA", at positions 355 to 776 of the family's 1533-position model. The record is from RNAcentral. Lineage: Bacteria; Pseudomonadati; Verrucomicrobiota.
UGGGGAAUAUUGCGCAAUGGGGGAAACCCUGACGCAGCGACGCCGCGUGCGGGAUGAAGGCCUUCGGGUUGUAAACCGCUUUUGAUUGGGAGCAAGCCUUUUGGGUGAGUGUACCUUUCGAAUAAGCGCCGGCUAACUACGUGCCAGCAGCCGCGGUAAUACGUAGGGCGCAAGCGUUAUCCGGAAUUAUUGGGCGUAAAGAGCUUGUAGGCGGUUCGUCGCGUCUGGUGUGAAAGCCCAUCGCUUAACGGUGGGUUUGCGCCGGGUACGGGCGGGCUAGAGUGCAGUAGGGGAGACUGGAAUUCCCGGUGUAACGGUGGAAUGUGUAGAUAUCGGGAAGAACGCCAAUGGCGAAGGCAGGUCUCUGGGCUGUUACUGACGCUGAGAAGCGAAAGCGUGGGGAGCGAACAGG